GCAUUGGUGCUUCAGUGGUAGAAUUCUAGCUUGCCAUGUUGGAGGCCUGGGUUCGAUUCCCAGCCAAUGCA
RNAcentral lists this transfer RNA (71 nucleotides) under Ameiurus melas (black bullhead). It matches the Rfam family "tRNA". Rfam says of the family: Transfer RNA (tRNA) molecules are approximately 80 nucleotides in length. Lineage: Eukaryota; Metazoa; Chordata; Actinopteri; Siluriformes; Ictaluridae. The record is from Rfam by way of RNAcentral.